Molecule: ribosomal RNA, 161 nt
Filed under: Zamia fairchildiana
Lineage: Eukaryota; Viridiplantae; Streptophyta; Cycadopsida; Cycadales; Zamiaceae
Description: 5.8S rRNA
Rfam family: 5.8S ribosomal RNA
About the family: 5.8S ribosomal RNA (5.8S rRNA) is a component of the large subunit of the eukaryotic ribosome. It is transcribed by RNA polymerase I as part of the 45S precursor that also contains 18S and 28S rRNA.
Source: RNAcentral
GUACGACUCUCGGCAACGGAUAUCUCGGCCCCGGCAACGAUGAAGAACGUAGCGAAGUGCGAUACUUGGUGUGAAUUGCAGAAUCCCGUGAAUCAUCAAAUCUUUGAACGCAAGUUGCGCCCGAGGCCCCGGCCCAGGGCACGGCUGCCUGGGCGUCGCAU